GACGAACGCUGGCGGCGUGCUUAACACAUGCAAGUCGAACGGAAAGGCCCUGCUUUUGUGGGGUGCUCGAGUGGCGAACGGGUGAGUAACACGUGAGUAACCUGCCCUUGACUUUGGGAUAACUUCAGGAAACUGGGGCUAAUACCGGAUAGGAGCUCCUGCUGCAUGGUGGGGGUUGGAAAGUUUCGGCGGUUGGGGAUGGACUCGCGGCUUAUCAGCUUGUUGGUGGGGUAGUGGCUUACCAAGGCUUUGACGGGUAGCCGGCCUGAGAGGGUGACCGGCCACAUUGGGACUGAGGUACGACCCAGCCGCCUACGGGAGGCAGCAGUGGGGAAUAUUGCACAAUGGGCGGAAGCCUGAUGCAGCAACGCCGCGUGCGGGAUGACGGCCUUCGGGUUAUAAACCGCUUUCGCCUGUGACGAAGCGUGAGUGACGGUAAUGGGUAAAGAAGCACCGGCUAACUACGUG
RNAcentral lists this ribosomal RNA (468 nucleotides) under uncultured bacterium. RNAcentral describes it as "partial 16S ribosomal RNA". It matches the Rfam family "Bacterial small subunit ribosomal RNA", at positions 28 to 507 of the family's 1533-position model. The record is from RNAcentral.